UGGGGAAUAUUGCACAAUGGGCGCAAGCCUGAUGCAGCCAUGCCGCGUGUGUGAAGAAGGCCUUCGGGUUGUAAAGCACUUUCAGCGAGGAGGAAGGGUAGUGUGUUAAUAGCACAUUGCAUUGACGUUACUCGCAGAAGAAGCACCGGCUAUCUCCGUGCCAGCAGCCGCGGUAAUACGGAGGGUGCAAGCGUUAAUCGGAAUUACUGGGCGUAAAGCGCACGCAGGCGGUUUGUUAAGUCAGAUGUGAAAUCCCCGCGCUUAACGUGGGAACUGCAUUUGAAACUGGCAAGCUAGAGUCUUGUAGAGGGGGGUAGAAUUCCAGGUGUAGCGGUGAAAUGCGUAGAGAUCUGGAGGAAUACCGGUGGCGAAGGCGGCCCCCUGGACAAAGACUGACGCUCAGGUGCGAAAGCGUGGGGAGCAAACA
RNAcentral lists this ribosomal RNA (427 nucleotides) under uncultured bacterium. RNAcentral describes it as "partial 16S ribosomal RNA". It matches the Rfam family "Bacterial small subunit ribosomal RNA", at positions 355 to 774 of the family's 1533-position model. The record is from RNAcentral.